UUAUGUAGUAGUUUGGUUUGGGGAUUGCUUUUUGCUUAAAAUGCUUUGUAUCCAGAAAAAAAUGAUUUAUUUUUUUCUCCCAAUUUUGCCUGGUAACUCAUUGCAGCCUAGCUAGUUCUGGGCUUCCAGCGGCAGCCCUCCUGUUCCUGUCCCGUGCUGCUUUUCUUUCCUUUGCGGGUUCUGCAUUGUCGUCGACUGGCUCUCCUCCAGCAGCGCUUGUCCUGCACUGCAAAGGUAGGGGCGAAGACUUCCUGAGAAUCUUUUCCCAAGUUUUUCUGACCUUCCUAAAGCUCUGUCAGUGUGCUGGCCUUCAUACUGAAUCCUCUUGUUUGGUUUCACAAUGAUCAGAAUCAAGGUGCUUGGGAUAACAACAACUUGAAAAUAACUUAAAAAAAAAAAAAAAAAAAAAAAAAAAAAGUAAUCUACAAUUUCAGUUGUCCAUCUCACAACAUGCACCAAGAAGAAUCUCUUAGUUCAAGCUAAGUACUGUGUCACUGAUCUGCAGCACUGUACAAGUAUUUCACGAAAACGUACAAAGCUGGAACAGGGCAGUAAACCAUAAACAAAGAAGCUUAAAUAGGAUGCAAAUACAUUUUCCAGUCUUCUGUUAUCUCUGUAAUGGUGCAAGAGCCACCUCAAAACAGCUUCUCUAGGCAUGCAAACCUCCAGUCUCUUCAGCAUUUAGUUGCAAGUAGCACAGGUUGUGCCUCUCGUAUGCAAAUAUGCUAAUGCAGCUCACCCUGCAGAUCACCCUGUCCGUGUGCAAUCCCAUUUCUGACCCUGCAGUACUCCUCAGAAAAUGGAAAUAAUGGUAUUUUUGGCAUUCUCACAUGGAUGGUUUUCACCCAUUUUCUCACAGAAGUGCUGGGUGCUACGUUGAUACUCAGCUUGUGGAUUUUGCUCUGAUGAACUGCUAAAGAGGUCCCUAUGUACUUGGAGCAGUGGUACUUAGGAUCAUCUAAUGAGAAAGAAACAUCCACGUGUAGGUUUGUAUAAAUGCAAAAUUAAAUAUGUUUAUUGGAGCUGUUUUGACUUUCCAUAAGUAAGAAUUAACUGUGCUCUAGUCUCCUACUCCUUAGAAGUUUAUAGUUCACCUCUCAGCCUUCCAUUUUGCUGCACAGUAGGGGAAAUCCUCCUGCUCCUUUUGUUCUCAUCCAGUACUGACAGCUUGCAGACGCUAAACAAGACACCUCCGUGCCACUUCAGGGUGUGCAAAGUAGAACUGGAUUGCACCUCGGAGUACGGUGUGUUGUACCACGUGGAGACAAAGAAUGAAAAUGUCAUCUUGUACAUCACGGCUUGCUUGUACAUGUUGAAAUUAAAUGACCUGGCACAAACUAUAAUAUCCAUAACUGCGGCUUGUAACAGCUCUAGUCCUGAUUGGGAAUUAUUUUUUCUACUGCAGCCUGUAUUGAGGGUUUAUCCAAAAAUAGCACAGGAAAUACAGUGCACAGUUACUGGAGCAAAGCAUUUCUGGCAGUUGUCCAUGGCAUGCUGCAAGUCUGUGAACUGGCUUACAUUCAUCUUUCAUUUAAAGAUGUGAAGAAGACUUUGGUAAGUGCUGACUGCAGCUCAGCUCCCUGCCUACCGAGUUGCAAUCUAUAGUUAAACAAAGGGGAUUUAUACGUUGGCAAGUAAAAUUAUCCUGUGUUAGUGAUGUCUUGCUUAUGCAAGACAAUGGAUAAUAAAUUAUUAACGGAGUGAGGUAAUUCCAUUUUAUACUAUUUCCUGCUGUCUAACAAGUAAUUCAAAAUCUGGGAGUUUCCAGUUUCUCAGGAACGAAAUGCCAUCUAGUGGCAACUGCUAAAUGUUUUGAGCGAGUACAUUCCUUUACAUUAUCAUAAAAUGUGUAGGUAUUCUUGCUGAUAUCCUGCAUUUUACAGCACAUUGAGCUGUAAAAGCGCUUGAGAGAGGAAGAUGGAGAGGCUGGGGAAAGGCGCAGCUCCCAUGUGUCUGCGCCUGCAUCCCCCGUUGGGCAGCGCUGCUGAAAACUCCCUUCCUUCCUCAGCUCCUGGUGCAGGCAGCUGGGCUUUCCCCUGCUCGGGGCUGGACAAACUUCCAGACGAGCUGGCAGGGUGUGUCUCGCUGUUAACUAAUAGUAGCAGACAAAAACACUAAUUUGGCUGAUGCUGUACGAAGAGAAGCUGAAAGCUGCCUCUGCUUUGCCAACUCCAUGCUCACCUGUCCCUCUCCUGGUAGGGGGCUUUUCCCUCUGGUUCUUCCUUCCCAAAGGAGUUUGAAUUUCUCUAUUGGUUCAUGCUACCCUGUCUCAACACGAUGCUCACAGCAUCUGCCCCACCAACCCUACUCUGCCCUAAAUUUCUGUUGGCAGUGUGCCCUGGAUGUAGCCACAGGCCUGAGGCUGGUGCAGCGAUAUGCAGAUCACCAGACCAGCUGGGCAAGCUGAUCUCUGGUUUGGCUUCAAUUCAAAGUGCCACAUGCACAGCUGUAAAGAGGAGCCGGCCAGCUGCAUCUCAUCCUCUCCACCCCCUGCGUGAGGAACUCUGUCCUGCCUGGGGUUAACUCAGCUGCAGUGUAGGAAUUUCCUAACAAAGAGCAAAACUAGGUGCCUGUGGUGGCAGGGUUGCCUUUGCAAGGAGCCUGUAGACACACGGUGACCUCUUGCUGCCCGUUGCCAGCGUCCCAGCCCAGCAGUAUGCCAAACGGCUGCCGAAUUCAGGGAAAACCUCAGACUUCACCUCAUCAGCCAAGUGGGUUCAGAAGAGAAAACAGCCCCAACAGCGCUGAAGGCACAGGGUAAGGUGGGAGAUGAGCUUCUUGGGGCCUGCCAACAGAAGAGCUAGUGCCUGCUGUGUGGUUUAGUUCUCCUCGCCAAUCAACACGACCAUCACCCAGCGUCACCUGGAAACUGGCGUGGGAGGGAAGCUCUGAGUGCCACCGUCAGUCCUUCAGGGCUCCAAGCACCAACAUGCUGUGCGACCAUGAUCCCAGUGAGAGCUCCAGCACCUCGUUUGUGUGCUCACACCCGCAGGAAGAUCAUACCCUAAUGGGAGGUAAGUCUCACUUAGUUUUGGUCACAUCUAGCAAUCCAUGCAGUAGCAAUUAUAAAAGAAAUUUGGGUAGCUCAGGGGUUUUUCUUCCCACAUAGCAUACUUUGUUUCCCAAUGCUUUUCCAGCUCCUGCUCUUAGAAAGAGCCAUCUUUCCCCUGCAGGGCUGUAGUAUUGGAAGUAUUUUAUAUUCACAUUUGAAAGUAUUAGAGGAGUUUGAUGUUUAUUGAAUAAAGAGACCCAAAACACUUAGACCAUUUUAGAAUUCUACCUCAUUAAUUCCUAUGCAUGACAAUCACCUUUAAUUUCACCCUUACCACACUCUUAAAAUCAAAUGAACUAAAGGUGAAAGCUUGGGGAAAAAAUGGGAAUGAAGCUGUUUUUGGUAUGAGAACGACCUUUGAACUGGAUGACAGGGAGGAAUUACCUAUCUGAGAAGCUGCAGGUAGCCACCUAAUUCAGAGCAGAAGAAGGCAUACUUCAGAUCCAGCCAGCCCAGCACCUUCGGUGCUCCAGCAUCAGCGGUGUUAG
Molecule: long non-coding RNA, 3540 nt
Organism: Oxyura jamaicensis (ruddy duck)
Lineage: Eukaryota; Metazoa; Chordata; Aves; Anseriformes; Anatidae
Exons: 3
Source: RefSeq, a predicted model, not a curated record